GAUGAACGCUGGCGGCGUGCCUAAUACAUGCAAGUCGAGCGAACAGACGAGGAGCUUGCUCCUCUGACGUUAGCGGCGGACGGGUGAGUAACACGUGGAUAACCUACCUAUAAGACUGGGAUAACUUCGGGAAACCGGAGCUAAUACCGGAUAAUAUAUUGAACCGCAUGGUUCAAUAGUGAAAGACGGUUUUGCUGUCACUUAUAGAUGGAUCCGCGCCGCAUUAGCUAGUUGGUAAGGUAACGGCUUACCAAGGCAACGAUGCGUAGCCGACCUGAGAGGGUGAUCGGCCACACUGGAACUGAGACACGGUCCAGACUCCUACGGGAGGCAGCAGUAGGGAAUCUUCCGCAAUGGGCGAAAGCCUGACGGAGCAACGCCGCGUGAGUGAUGAAGGUCUUCGGAUCGUAAAACUCUGUUAUUAGGGAAGAACAAAUGCGUAAGUAACUAUGCACGUCUUGACGGUACCUAAUCAGAAAGCCACGGCUAACUACGU
This 496-nucleotide ribosomal RNA is filed under the name uncultured bacterium. RNAcentral describes it as "partial 16S ribosomal RNA". It matches the Rfam family "Bacterial small subunit ribosomal RNA", at positions 28 to 506 of the family's 1533-position model. The record is from RNAcentral.